ACCCAACUGACGAGUCCCAAAUAGGAUGAAACGCACAUCCUGGAU
Molecule: non-coding RNA, 45 nt
Filed under: Schistosoma mansoni
Lineage: Eukaryota; Metazoa; Platyhelminthes; Trematoda; Strigeidida; Schistosomatidae
Source: RNAcentral